RNAcentral lists this ribosomal RNA (244 nucleotides) under Austrotichus rugosus. RNAcentral's name for it is "partial 16S ribosomal RNA". It matches the Rfam family "Archaeal large subunit ribosomal RNA", at positions 1888 to 2174 of the family's 2987-position model. Lineage: Eukaryota; Metazoa; Arthropoda; Insecta; Hemiptera; Scutelleridae. The record is from RNAcentral.
UCGCCUGUUUAUCAAAAACAUGUCUUGAAUGCUUAUUUAUUUUAGGUCUAACCUGCUCAAUGAUUAUUUUAUUAAAUAGCCGCAGUAUUUUGACUGUGCGAAGGUAGCAUAAUCAUUUGUCUUUUAAUUGAAGGCUUGUAUGAAUGGUUUGACAAACUAUAAACUUUCUUUUUAUUAAAAUUAUUGAAUUUAAUUUUUUAGUUAAAAAGCUAAAAUUUAUUUAUAGACGAGAAGACCCUAUAGA